GCCAGGUAUGGUGGCACACACCUGUAAUCCCAGCGGCUCGGGAGGCUGAGACAGGAGGAUCGCAAGUUCAAAGCCAGCCUCAGCAAUGGUGAGGUGCUAAACAACUCAGUGAGACCCUGUCUUUA
RNAcentral lists this small RNA (125 nucleotides) under Marmota monax (woodchuck). Lineage: Eukaryota; Metazoa; Chordata; Mammalia; Rodentia; Sciuridae. The record is from RNAcentral.